AUGUUUGGCCUGGUGGCCAACAUGUGUUUCGGCGACGACAUCGACAAUAACCGCGUCCGUGCCAUGGCCGACGCUCAGAGUGACCUCGUCAAGUCCCUAUCUACGGCGCGCGUGUUCGCGCAUGCGAAGCUCCCCGCACUGACCAGGCUCAUUUAUCGUAAUCGGUGGAAGAAGCUAGCCGCCCUGCGACAGCAGCAGGAGCAGACGUACCUACCACUCACCGACUCCCGUCGCGGCCGGCACCGGCGACCCAGCGAGACGCCGGUGUAUGUGGACACGCUCAUCGAUCUCAAGGUGCCGGACGACCACAGUCAGGACCCAAGGCGGCAUCGAAGAAGGCUGUCCGAUGGUGAACUCGUCGGCAUGUGCUCCGAGUUCCUUGGUGCUGGAACUGAAACGACAGCAUCAGCGCUGCAGUGGAUCAUGGCCAACUUGGUGAAGCGUCCUGACAUACAGGAGGCCGUCCGGAAGGAGAUCAAUGCCGUCGUGGGUGCGGACGCCGAGGAAGUCAGCGAGGUUGUUCUUGGGAAGCUGGAGUACCUGCACGCUGUGAUCAUGGAGGCACUCCGGCUGCAUCCGCCGACGUCUUUUGCAUUCAGGCAGGUGAUGGAAGAGGAUCAUGUGGUUCACAAUGGCCGGCGUAUUCCAGUGGGCACAAAAGUGUACUUCCCACUGGCUGCUAUAGCACGAGACAGGACAGCGUGGGAUAACCCUGACGAGUUCAAGCCACAACGGUUCCUGUCCUGCAAGGAUGCAUCCCAAGGAACCGACGGCACGAUCAAAAUGAUGCCUUUCGGCGGUGGUCGGAGGAUGUGCCCUGGUAGGGGUGUCGCAAUGCUGCACUUAAGCUACUUCACCGCCAACCUUGUGAGGGAGUUCCGGUGGAGGGAGGGAGAAGGUGAGCUUGCUGUCGAUCUCCAGCCGCAUGUUGAGUUCUUCACUGUCAUGAAGCGGCCAUUGCGUGCUCACCUAGAGCUUGAAAGGACAGAGAUCAAAACUAGUUAA
RNAcentral lists this ribosomal RNA (1005 nucleotides) under Triticum aestivum (bread wheat). Its description in RNAcentral is "partial small subunit ribosomal RNA". The record is from RNAcentral. Lineage: Eukaryota; Viridiplantae; Streptophyta; Magnoliopsida; Poales; Poaceae.